AAUAUUUUAUUUUGUUCAUUUUUCUAGUGUAAGAGUCUUUUUUGAAACUACUGAGGGAUAUAUUGACAUUUUAAAAUUUUAAAAAUCUAAAUUUAUUUCAAAUUUCCAAAAUCUCUUAAAAAAUUUAUUAACACCCUUAACAUUUUAAAAAGAUACAUUUCAACUCCAAAUACACGACAUUUUAGAAAGGAAAAAUAUAAUGAAAAAAUCUAUAUAAAAUGACUUUCUUAUCCUUUUACUUUCCAUAAUUCAUAAACAAAAAUGGACAGAAGAUGAGAAACAAGCUUUUUGAAAUUUAAAAGGCAGGAAUAAGUCAUUUCAGCAAACCCUGGGUGGGCAAUAGUCUUUUGGCCUAAUAUUUACAAGAUAAGCACAUUUUGCCCUUCAUAGGUCCAACCAUUACACAUAGAACUUUCUUUAUUAAAAAUCUUAUCCAUAUCUAUUUAACUAGAAUUGAACAUAUAGAAAGGACCACUUUAUAGUAUAAGUUGAUAACAUCCAUGAAAGGUUAUGAAAAUAUUAAUAUGAAGUUGCAUGCAUCACUGUGUUUUGUUAUUUCCUUUUAUCUUAUGUUAUAUUAUUCUUAUUCUCUACCAAUUAUUGUUGCUCAAUUUGUAAACUAUUUCGCAAGUCAUAUCAUUAUAUCAAUCUUUCCAUCAUUAGCUUCUUGUUAUUGCCCUAUCUCUUUAUUUACUAGAGACAUGCAUAGGGUAAAUUACAAAAUCCUUAAAAUUUUUUAUAAAGUUGAUGGAAAGGAAAAAACACUAGAUCUUUAUUGAAGUUAAAUAACAAUUUACUCUUAAAAAAAAUGAUUAGUGUGGAUUUUUUGUCUUUCUAAUUGUUUUGCUCAACUUCCCAAUAGUAAUUAGCUUGUUGCUUUGUUAUUAUCUGGUUGUCCUUGGCCUUGUUGAAACUAUAGUAGUUUCCCUCAUUGCUACACCAUCUCCCUUGGUUGUGUUGCCCUCACCCUUCAAUGGAACCAUUGGGCUUUGGUCAAAUUUCAUCAAUUUUGUCUAUUUUGAUUUGUCUUGAUCUCAUCGCGUCAAACUCAAGGAUUAGGCUUCCAUUGUCACUAUUGUGUUGUUUUAUCUUUAAGGUUGUGAAUGACCAGCACUCACAAUCUGCUCAUUGUCUGCAUCCUUGCCGCCAAUGAUCAAGGGACUAUAUUCCUUUAUUGCAUCCUUUCAAAUCAAGAGGAGAAGUUGUAGGGGUUUUGAGUACAAAUUGACCUAGAUCUUUGUUGCUUCUAAGCUUGAUGGCGUAUCACACCAUCACUUGCAAAAAACUGGAUCAACAAAUUUGUUUUCCUACCACCAAGAAAUGAGAAUAGAGAAUAAUAUUGUACAAAUCAACAAGAAUACCAUUUAAUUGUUUAAAACUAAUGUUUGACUUCAAUUAAUAGACCGAAAAAUAGACUGACCUUUUAAACUUAAAGAGUGAAAGUCCAUCAUUUCAUCAAAGUUUUGUGGAAAACAAUAUUAUAUGUACACACUUUUGGUAUAUAAUUUCUAUAUAUAGAUGUGUAUCAUGAUGCGAUUGAAUGUUAUUUUAUCUUUACUUUAAAAUCACCUAAUCAUAUAAUUAUAUAUUAUCAGUAUACCUAAAUUACAUACCAAAAGUGUGUAUGCAAAAUUUUAUUAAAUUUAUAAUAUAUCACAAAUGCUAUAUAUAUGAAGUGUGUUACUGUUUUGAACCAUAUGCACUCACUCACUACCAAACUUUUCUUCUGUGUGAAAAAAUCUGCAUGGAGAAGAAAAUAGAAUCCCAUGGAGAGAACGAGGACGAGCUGAGCAGUGAGCUUGAACGGCUGUUAACCACUUCUCCCAAGGCCAAAAUUUGGAAUGGUGUUGAACUCUGUAAAUACCAAGGAUUCUUGAGCCAAUCCAAGUACCUUCGUGGCAUGAUCAGGUUUCAGAAGCACUUCCAAGCUGAAGAAAACGAUAUCAUCAUAUUAACAACUUUUCCAAAAUAUGGCACCACAUGGCUCAAAGCUCUAGUCUUCACCAUUGCAAAUCGCUCAAAAUAUUCACUAGAAAAGAGCCCCUUGCUCUCUCAAGGUCCUCAUGAGCUGGUUCAUUAUCUUGACUAUGAUCUUUUCACGAGAGACCCUCUUCCUGUUCUUUAAGACUUUCCCAAGCCAAGAAUCUUUGCACCACACACACCAUAUCCUUCUCUUUCAAGCUCUAUCAAGAACUCCAACUGUCGCAUUGUUUACGUCUGUAGAAACCCUUUGGACCAGUUUGUCUCUCAUUGGAAGUUCAUGGUGAGAGUGAGAGUUCGAAAUACAGACCCCAUUCCCAUUGAUGAAGGUUCUGAAAUGGCUUAUCAAGGCAAGCAGGAAUUUGGACCCAUGUGGGAACAGGUAUUUGGAUAUUGGGGCUAGCAAAGAAGAGCCCCACAAGGCAUUGUUCUUGAAAUAUGAAGACUUUAAAGAGAAGAACUUAUUUUAUGUAAAGAAGUCGGCUGAUUUUCUGGGAUUUCCAUUUUCUGAAGAUGAAGAGAAGCAAGGAAUGAUUGAAGAAAUUUCCAGGUUUUGUAUCUUCGAUAACAUGAGCAAUUUGGAGGUGAACAAGAAUGGUGCACAUGCCACAGGGCUGAAGAAUGAUAUCUUUGGUAAAGGCUUGGUGGGAGAUUGGAAAAAUUAUUUGACGCCUUCAAUGGCCGAGCGUCUGGAGAAAAUGAGUGAAGGAAAAUUGAGUGGCUCAGAUUUAACCUUUAAGAAAUGAACGGUACUAUGUUUACUCAUUUUAAUAUAUAACUAAGUAAAUAUUUAUGGGUGUCAACAAAUGAUUAGGUAUCAUUUUAUUAUUUAUUUAAAAUCACUCAAUUAUAUAGAUAAUAUAAUUAAAUAUAUAACUAUUUGUAUAUUUAAAAUAAAUAUAUAUAAUUUUAUUAUAAAAAAUUAUUGGCUUUUAAAACACUAAAAGAUCGGAAAUCUAAAUUUUUGGAUUGCUAGCUUUCUCUUUGUGGCUGUCUUGUGGGCUGCUUUCUCUUUAAUGUUAUCAAGUGUGAAAGAAUUUGAUGUAAACAAUUUUAAUUUGUACUCAAAAUGUCUCGUGAAUGAAUAAUUACUUCUUUUAGCA
This is a long non-coding RNA of Mangifera indica (mango), 3083 nucleotides long. RefSeq lists it as uncharacterized. The transcript has 2 exons. The record is from RefSeq and is a predicted model, not a curated record. NCBI's taxonomy places the organism in Eukaryota, Viridiplantae, Streptophyta, Magnoliopsida, Sapindales, Anacardiaceae.